GAUGAACGCUGGCGGCGUGCUUAAUACAUGCAAGUCGAGCGAGCAGACGCGGAGCUUGCUCCUCUGACGUUAGCGGCGGACGGGCGAGCCACCCGUGGAUAACCUACUUACAAGACUGGGAUAACUUCGGGAAAGCGGAGCUUAUACCGGACAAUAUAUUGAAUCGCAUGGUUAAAUAGUGAAAGUCGGUUUUGCUGUCAUUUAUAGAUGGAUCCGCGCAGCAUUAGCUAGUUGGUAAGGUAACGGCUUACCAAGGAAACGAUGCGUAGCCGACCUGAGAGAGUGAUCGGCCACACUGGAAGGGAGACGCGGCCCAGACACCUGCGGGAGGCAGCAGUGGGGAAUCUUCCGCAGUAGUCGAAAGCCUGACGGAGCAGCGCCACGUGAGGGAUGAAGGUCUUCGGAGCGGAAAACUCUGUUAUUAGGGAAGAACAAAUGUGUAAGUAACUAUGCACGGCGUGACGGUACCUAGUCAAAAAGCCACGGCUAACUACGUG
RNAcentral lists this ribosomal RNA (497 nucleotides) under uncultured bacterium. RNAcentral's name for it is "partial 16S ribosomal RNA". It matches the Rfam family "Bacterial small subunit ribosomal RNA", at positions 28 to 507 of the family's 1533-position model. The record is from RNAcentral.